RNAcentral lists this transfer RNA (85 nucleotides) under Felis catus (domestic cat). It matches the Rfam family "tRNA". From Rfam's summary of the family: Transfer RNA (tRNA) molecules are approximately 80 nucleotides in length. Their secondary structure includes four short double-helical elements and three loops (D, anti-codon, and T loops). RNAcentral also lists the same sequence under 4 other names. Lineage: Eukaryota; Metazoa; Chordata; Mammalia; Carnivora; Felidae. The record is from Rfam by way of RNAcentral.
GUGUGGGUGGCUCAGUCGGUUGAGUGCCUGACUUCAGCUCAGGUCAUGAACUGGCACUUUGUGGGUUCAAGUCCCACAUCAGGCU